AUAAAAAUAAUUGCGCUAUCUCGUCGCGUGACAUGCGCACGAGGUCUCUGCGAUUGCUAAUCGAUCUACAAAUACUUACACGUACAUAUGUACAAAACUCGUGGCCAUACACCACGUUGUCCAUAUUAUUUUCAUCUCGUUAAUAUAUUUUGUAUAUUUAUGAUGUUAUUAUUUUACUAGUAUAACGAUUAUUGCACUAUAUUCUAUAAGAUGGAGCUUUUGUACGAACAAUUUCAGGAACUUUUAUAACAAAGGAAAGUACUAAUUUUUAACAUUAACUACCCACGACAAUUUACGACAAUUAUUUUAACCUACGUUCUUACUCUAAUUUUUAUUCGCUCGCCUAAUGAUUGAAUUUUUAAUCAAUCAUUGUUGAUGAAAAAUUGCGAUAAUUGCAUUGCGGAUCUUUAUGCAAAUGCAUAUUUUCGUGGAUACAAUAAUACAAUUGAAAGAUUUGAUACAAUCGAAAGGACUUGGGCAAAAGUAUGUUUCUAUCCAUUAAAUAUCAUCGAUAGUGCUGUACUUUUGGAUAUUUUACAAAAUUUUGCGUCAUACGCAUUCUAUGAAUUUUCGUAUCUUCGAAUCACCCAUAAUUGCAUAAAAAUCCGCUGUUUUGUGAUAAUGAAUAUUAAUGACGGUGGAAUUUAAGAUUCCUGGAUUCAGUAACUUGUCUUACUCUAAUACAUGUAUUGCACGUUUUUGGAAGACUAAAGAUUCUUUGCUCGAGAUCAACGCGACAAAUAUUGUACUUCGUGGUGAACGUUUCGCUACAGCCUUUCGACCUCUGUGAUCGAGUUUUCGCUUUUCCUCGAUUUUAUACUCGAUCUCCGUAGCAUGCUACUCCUUAAAGGUUCACCGCGAAGCGACGCUCUUGUCACGUAAAAUAACAAAAUAAAAAAAGGAAUUUGAGGUAAAAAUAAAAAAGAAAACUUUAUUUUUUUUCUAACAUCAAUACACUUUACAAUCUACUUCCGAACUCUAGGCGUGACUUUCUAAGACUGACUCUUAUGAUUUUACUUUCGAUCGGAUCCGAUUACUUUCUUUUGUCAUCCCUCAACAACCCCACCGUCCAUGCAUUUGCUAGGCGUCCGCGAUCGUUGCCACGUGCUCUUUCUUCUAGAACCUUCGGUGGAAGGACCGUUGGGAUGUUGAUGGUUCAUUAGGCACUUCAGCGAUAUACAUUGUCGCCGAGUGCCGCCACAUCUUUAUCUCUAUCGUCAGUCCGUCGGAUUUGAAGUAUGCCGGUCGACACGAGAUCAUCGGAUUCGUCGAGAAAAGCCUUCGUUCAGAAAGUAAGGGAAAUUGGCGUUGCUGCUAAUUGGUCAAUCUCCAUAUCGGUGGUUAGAAAAAGAUGCUAGCCGCCCUCGAGGGAAAGUUGC
Bombus huntii is the source of this 1379-nucleotide long non-coding RNA. RefSeq lists it as uncharacterized. The record is from RefSeq and is a predicted model, not a curated record. Lineage: Eukaryota; Metazoa; Arthropoda; Insecta; Hymenoptera; Apidae. The transcript is spliced from 2 exons.